AAAUCACAAAAGUGAAUUUACACGUAAGAAACAAACUGACCGGUUACAAAAUUCAAAUGAAAACUCCAUUUGAAAUCUGAUAUGUAAGAUUCAGAAACCCAGAGAGAGUGACUGAACAGACCCAAGCCCAAGCCGCCUCCCUCCGACAGCCACUGACACGGUGGUCUCCUCCGUGACAUCGCUCGCCGUUCCUUCCUCCUCCCCAUCUCAGGUCCUUUUGGGAGAUUUAGUGCUUAUACAAGGUUCUAUAAUGAAGAAAGAUGGUAGGAGUAGAAUAAAUUGGAUCUUUGAGAACUUUGUUACUUUCCUCCGCAAAUGUACUUUUCGUGUACUCUCUGUUGGUCCCAUUCCUGAACAUAUUGCAUACAUCAUGGAUGGAAAUCGUAGAUAUGCAAAAAAGCAGAAUAUGAUUGAAGGGACUGGACAUAGAGUUGGAUUUUUGGCUCUCAUGUCCAUGCUUAAGUACUGCUAUGAGAUGGGUGUGAGAUAUGUAACAAUUUAUGCCUUCAGCAUUGAUAAUUUCAAACGAUGUCCUGAAGAAGUUCAAUCUUUGAUGGAUCUGAUGCAGGAAAAAAUUGAAGGGUUGAUGGAGGAAGAGAGCAUAGUAAAUCGCUAUGGAGUUAGGGUGCACUUUUUGGGGGACCUAAAAUUGUUGAGUGAACCUGUCAGAUUGGCAGCAGAGAGGGCAAUGGUGGUCACUGCCAAUAACUCCAAGGCGGUCUUGUCAAUAUGUGUUGCCUACAAUUCGACCAAUGAGAUUGUGCAUGCCGUAGAAAAAGCAUGUGAAGAAAAGUGGGAGGAGAUUAGUUUACUGAAUGCAAGUGGAUCUGGGUAUGGCUUAAUAGGACUUGAAUGUAUUGAAAAGCAUGAAAGGGAGAACCUUAUUAAAUUAAUAGAUAUUGAAAAGCAUAUGUAUGUGUCAGUUGCACCUGAUCCUGAUAUCUUAAUCCGUACUUCUGGUGAGACUCGCUUAAGUAAUUUUCUUCUCUGGCAGAGUGCAUACUGUUACUUGUACUCAACACCUGUCCUUUGGCCAGAGAUUGGUUUUCGGCAUCUCCUUUGGGCAAUCUUGAACUUCCAACGGAAUCACUUUUAUUUGGAGAAGAAAAGGAAACAAUUGUAAAUCUUGCAGUGGGUGGUUACCUGCCUUUGGGACAACAAUAUGAUGCUAGGUUACAAGGAGAAAUAUGAAAGGGAACCCUAAUGGAACAAAGUUAACUUCAUUGAAAUUUUCCUGAAGCAGAAGAAUAAAAGAUGCCUUCUUUAGCAGUCUGAACUCCAAAAUAAGUCACAAGCAGACCAAUCUUGAGGGUGUAGCCUUGUGGUUGGAGGCUUGGGAUGAGUUGGAGACCUAAACAUCCUGGGUUUGAUCCAUACUAUGAGUUCUCUUGGAUUACCUAAUACACGGUUCUAGCGGGUGGGGUUGUGCAUCUAUGGUUUACUCUCCUGGGGUGGGUCUAAAGGACCCUGCCUUGGUGAGGUUCCACAUCAUCACCAUAAAAAAUGUUAAUUAAUGUGAAGCAUAAAUUAGUGUUAUCAGAGAUGCGUGGGCAAUAGGUUCCUAGGUGCCAACCUUGGCAAGUCUACUUUUAUAGUGUGGGGAUGUUUUGGACUUUUUGGACUCCCAACUAGGUAAUAAUGCUCAUGCAAAAUACUAGUGAGAUGCAUACUUGUAACUAUUUUGACGAUGUUAAUCAUUUUGUAUCUAUAGAUUAGACAUUUUUAAGUUUUACUUGUAAUUGCAUGUUACACUGAAAAGGUGGAUUCCGUCUCCAAGAUGAAACUCUUGUUCUUAGAGCAUAAUUUGCAAAGCUAUUGUUUGUCUUUUUUGUCGGUCAGCCUUGAUUAGUUUGUUGUUGAGGAUACAUAACUGGCCCAAAAAUAUUGGUAGUAAAGCUUGGUAGUUUUUUUCUUUUUUCUUUUUUGAGAAGACUAAAGCUUGGUAGUUGUAGAUGACAAAUUAAAUGUGUUUUCACUUGAAUAAUGAUGUAUAUAGUUUGUUGAGAUUCUUUUCGCAAUAAAUAGAUGCUAGUUAAUUAAUGUGAAGAGUAAAUUGUUUUUGUCAAAGAUGCUUGCCAUAGGAAUCUAGGUGCUGACCUUGGCAAGAUAUACUUUUGUAGUGUGGGGAUGAUGUGGAGUUUUUGGACUCCCAACUAGGUAAUAACUAUCAUGCUAAACACUGCCAGCGAUGUUAA
RNA transcript from Quercus lobata, 2195 nucleotides. It is a transcript of the gene named dehydrodolichyl diphosphate synthase 6-like, with no coding region annotated. The transcript is spliced from 4 exons. Lineage: Eukaryota; Viridiplantae; Streptophyta; Magnoliopsida; Fagales; Fagaceae. The record is from RefSeq and is a predicted model, not a curated record.